This 465-nucleotide ribosomal RNA is filed under the name Vreelandella stevensii. RNAcentral's name for it is "partial 16S ribosomal RNA". It matches the Rfam family "Bacterial small subunit ribosomal RNA", at positions 338 to 795 of the family's 1533-position model. Lineage: Bacteria; Pseudomonadati; Pseudomonadota; Gammaproteobacteria; Oceanospirillales; Halomonadaceae. The record is from RNAcentral.
CCUACGGGUGGCUGCAGUGGGGAAUAUUGGACAAUGGGCGAAAGCCUGAUCCAGCCAUGCCGCGUGUGUGAAGAAGGCCUUCGGGUUGUAAAGCACUUUCAGUGGGGAAGAAAGCCUUGGGGCUAAUACCCUCGAGGAAGGACAUCACCCACAGAAGAAGCACCGGCUAACUCCGUGCCAGCAGCCGCGGUAAUACGGAGGGUGCGAGCGUUAAUCGGAAUUACUGGGCGUAAAGCGCGCGUAGGCGGUCUGAUAAGCCGGUUGUGAAAGCCCGGGGCUCAACCUGGGAACGGCAUCCGGAACUGUCAGGCUAGAGUGCAGGAGAGGAAGGUAGAAUUCCCGGUGUAGCGGUGAAAUGCGUAGAGAUCGGGAGGAAUACCAGUGGCGAAGGCGGCCUUCUGGACUGACACUGACGCUGAGGUGCGAAAGCGUGGGUAGCAAACAGGAUUAGAUACCCCGGUAGUC